GUCAGGGUCACCUGGGGGUUGGUGGGGGGUCGAUGGGGUGGAGUAAUGGUGAGUGAUGUUUAAGAACAGCAUUCUGUGGUGCUUUUGCUGGUUGCCAAUAAGGGUGGAGUAAUAAUGUAUCUUGGCUUCGGAAAGGGCUUCCUUGUAUAGCUCAUGUGGUCUUUGUAGGCCUCCAGUUGGACGGUGAGGCCAGUUCUUUCCAGUUGACAACCAGAGGCCUUCAUGGAGCGGACUUAGGUCAUGUGCCAAGGAGCUGAACAGGUGAAGGAGACAAAACCGGUUUGAAGGUGUGCAAGAGAAUCAAGGCUGAGAGACAGAGCAGUGUUGUAGUGGGCUGCCAGGGCAUCUGCUGUGGUUAGGGUUUUUUGGAGGGUGACUAAUAGAUUUGUUAAAGCAGGCUAAUCGAUUUGUUUCUAAGUGUAAUAGUAAAGAGGACAGCACGACUAUCAGAGAUCGCAAGGUCUAGGCACUGCAGGUGGAGGGGUGUGGUGCCACUGGAGCACACCAAAGGUCCAAUGUGUGACCUAUGGUGUGAGUGGGACCUUGGACAUGCUGUGCUAAGUUGAAACAUUCCUGUAGAGAUAAAAAUUCAGUGGCCAGAGUGCAGAUGCCAAAUAGAUAUUAAAGUCACAGAGGGGGAGUGUGGAAGGAGACCUGGAGCAGACAGAGGUGAGUAGCUCAGAUAGACAUGAAGGUGGUGGAGGCUUUAGGGGGACGGUAGAUAAGGACAGAUUGAAGUGGAGCCAACCCAGUUAGACUGAAAGCAAGGCAUUCCAUAGAGGUGGCAUUGGUUACUGGAAGCUCUUUGACCAGGAAAUUCUUUCAGUGUAUUACAGCCAGCCCACCACCACGGCCCUUGAAGUGAGGCUUCUGGAUGUACGCGUAGCCUGGUGGGGUGGUUUGUUUCAGUGCAAUAUAAUGCUCUUGAUUUUGCCUAGGUUUCAGUUAAGCAGAGAAAGUCUAUUUUCUGUAAUGAUUUCAUAGAUGAGAAGUGCUUUAUUGUUAAUGUAGAGGGCAUUUUGCAGCAUAAAUGAAGCUGUAUUGUUUGUGAGUGGUGUGCAGGAGGGGGUGGGAGGAGUGACACUGCCAACACACACUAGAGGUCUCAAGUUACCAGACUGCACAUGUGGUUUUUUUGUGAUGACGUCGACGCAGUGGGGUGGAGCGUCGAUAAGACAGUAUAGUGGGGAUAAUGUGAUUGUAGCCCUUUGCACAUAACGAGAAAGUGUCUGCAAUGCAAGCUGAAACAACAUAGCAGAUGAGGUUGAGAAGCUAUAGUGAUGAAUACUAUCAUACCAUCACUACUACAGUGAUGCACCGUAGGCGCUAGUCGGGCGGUUCCUCAACGCUACCAGCUGAUUGGCGGAGACAGUGAGUAUGUGUACUGAUAAUACAGUAGUUAUGGCGGAAGAAGGGCCAGUUGGGAGUUUGGAGUGAGAAUCCACUGAUGUUUGGAGGGAUAAUCAUCAGAAAUCCAGUGAAGUGAAGACACCUGUAUUUCGCUAGCUGUAGCCGGGAGGCUGGGAGCUAGCAGGUGGAAGCUAUCAGGUGUUCGACAAUCCCCACUCCGUUCAUGAAGAUGCAGCUUGCCUGCCCCGCUCUGUGUUCUUGGAGCUUGGUUUCCCUCAGCCUGCCCGCUCUCUGCCUCAAGCCCACGCACAUUCUCAACCUGUCGAUAAACUGUUCUUCGUGUGAACUAAGCCGCAUUGUGUCCGCUUUUGGAUCCUCUCAGCUGCUCCUAACAAUAGAUAAUCCUUAUAAAAUGUCUAAAUUCUU
Micropterus dolomieu (smallmouth bass) is the source of this 1776-nucleotide long non-coding RNA. RefSeq lists it as uncharacterized. The record is from RefSeq and is a predicted model, not a curated record. NCBI's taxonomy places the organism in Eukaryota, Metazoa, Chordata, Actinopteri, Centrarchiformes, Centrarchidae. The transcript has 2 exons.